Molecule: ribosomal RNA, 404 nt
Filed under: Actinomycetes bacterium
Lineage: Bacteria; Bacillati; Actinomycetota; Actinomycetes
Description: Actinobacteria bacterium partial 16S ribosomal RNA
Rfam family: Bacterial small subunit ribosomal RNA
Source: RNAcentral
UGGGGAAUAUUGGACAAUGGGCGCAAGCCUGAUCCAGCCAUGCCGCGUGAGUGAUGUAGGCUCUAGGGUUGUAAAGCUCUUUCCCCGGUGAAGAUAAUGACGGUAACCGGAGAAGAAGCCCCGGCUAACUUCGUGCCAGCAGCCGCGGUAAUACGAAGGCGGCUAGCGUUGUUCGGAUUUACUGGGCGUAAAGCGCACGUAGGCGGACUUUUAAGUCAGGGGUGAAAUCCCGGGGCUCAACCCCGGAACUGCCUUUGAUACUGGAAGUCUUGAGUAUGGUAGAGGUGAGUGGAAUUCCGAGUGUAGAGAUGAAAUUCGUAGAUAUUCAGAGGAACUCCAGUGGCGAAGGCGGCUCACUGGACCAGUACUGACGCUGAGGUGCGAAAGCGUGAGGAGCAAACAGG